Molecule: long non-coding RNA, 166 nt
Organism: Cydia strobilella
Lineage: Eukaryota; Metazoa; Arthropoda; Insecta; Lepidoptera; Tortricidae
Exons: 2
Source: RefSeq, a predicted model, not a curated record
GGGCCCCAUUUCUCGAACGGUAUUAGUCUAAUAUUAUUAGUGUGUUCCAUACGAUUGGACAGGGGCCCAUUUCUCGAACGGUAUUAGACUAAUAUUAUUAGUGUGUUGCCAUGGUAACCCAUACCAUUGGACAGGGGCCCAUUUCUCGAACGGUAUUAGUAUAAUA